This 551-nucleotide ribosomal RNA is filed under the name uncultured bacterium. RNAcentral's name for it is "partial 16S ribosomal RNA". It matches the Rfam family "Bacterial small subunit ribosomal RNA", at positions 356 to 896 of the family's 1533-position model. The record is from RNAcentral.
AGGGAAUCUUCCACAAUGGACGCAAGUCUGAUGGAGCAACGCCGCGUGAGUGAAGAAGGUUUUCGGACCGUAAAGCUCUGUUGUUGGUGAAGAAGGAUAGAGGUAGUAACUGGCCUUUAUUUGACGGUAAUCAACCAGAAAGUCACGGCUAACUACGUGCCAGCAGCCGCGGUAAUACGUAGGUGGCAAGCGUUGUCCGGAUUUAUUGGGCGUAAAGCGAGCGCAGGCGGAAGAAUAAGUCUGAUGUGAAAGCCCUCGGCUUAACCGAGGAAUUGCAUCGGAAACUGUUUUUCUUGAGUGCAGAAGAGGAGAGUAGAACUCCAUGUGUAGCGGUGGAAUGCGUAGAUAUAUGGAAGAAUACCAGUGGCGAAGGCGGCUCUCUGGUCUGCAACUGACGCUGAGGCUCGAAAGCAUGGGUAGCGAACAGGAUUAGAUACCCUGGUAGUCCAUGCCGUAAAACGAUGAGUGCUAAGUGUUGGGAGGCUUCCGCCUCUCAGUGCUGCAGCUAACGCAUUAAGCACUCCGCCUGGGGGAGUACGACCGCAAGGUUG